This 253-nucleotide ribosomal RNA is filed under the name uncultured bacterium. Its description in RNAcentral is "partial 16S ribosomal RNA". It matches the Rfam family "Bacterial small subunit ribosomal RNA", at positions 524 to 776 of the family's 1533-position model. The record is from RNAcentral.
UACAGAGGGUGCGAGCGUUAAUCGGAUUUACUGGGCGUAAAGCGUGCGUAGGCGGCUUUUUAAGUCGGAUGUGAAAUCCCUGAGCUUAACUCAGGAAUUGCAUUCGAUACUGGGAAGCUAGAGUAUGGGAGAGGAUGGUAGAAUUCCAGGUGUAGCGGUGAAAUGCGUAGAGAUCUGGAGGAAUACCGAUGGCGAAGGCAGCCAUCUGGACUAAUACUGACGCUGAGGUACGAAAGCAUGGGGAACAAACAGG